This 431-nucleotide ribosomal RNA is filed under the name uncultured bacterium. RNAcentral describes it as "bacterial SSU rRNA". It matches the Rfam family "Bacterial small subunit ribosomal RNA", at positions 29 to 506 of the family's 1533-position model. The record is from RNAcentral.
GCGAACGCUGGCGGCAGGCCUAACACAUGCAAGUCGAGCGCCCGGGCAACCGGGAGCGGCAGACGGGAGAGUAACACGUGGGAACGUACCCUUCAGUUCGGAACAACCCAGGGAAACUUGGGCUAAUACCGAAUACGUCCGUAAGGAGAAAGAUUUAUCGCUGAAGGAUCGGCCCGCGUCUGAUUAGCUAGUUGGUGAGGUAACGGCUCACCAAGGCGACGAUCAGUAGCUGGUCUGAGAGGAUGAUCAGCCUCAUUGGGACUGAGACACGGCCCAAACUCCUACGGGAGGCAGCAGUGGGGAAUAUUGGACAAUGGGCGCAAGCCUGAUCCAGCCAUGCCGCGUGGGUGAUGAAGGCCCUAGGGUUGUAAAGCCCUUUCGGCGGGGAAGAUAAUGACGGUACCCGCAGAAGAAGCCCCGGCUAACUUCGU